GACGGCAGCAGGAUGCAUCUGAUCUCUUGCUGGAAAUGGUAGGCUAUUCCAAGGCUCUGCAGCUGAUGGAUGGCCCUUACCAGCAGCCUUCUGCUUGCGGUGCUGUCGCUGUCGUCCUCCUGCUGCUGCUGCCGCUGCCGGAGCAUCAACAUGUUAGCAACACCUGGGAAACCUGGAAAGGGGGAUCGGAGAGGAAGAGCUCAGAGGAGAAUGAGACUUGGAGAAGGGAAUAGCUGGGAGGAAGACGAGUUUGUCUGAUGUUUGAUAGCUAAAUUGUGCAUGCCCCUAUUACACAAGUGUUUGUCUUUUAUAUAGUACUACUAGAACAUCAAGCGAUCCAUAGAUACUUGACCCACUACUUGGCCCAUAUUGGCUCAGUAACCUUAGCAUUUGGACGAUGGACUCUCGUGUCCCGUGGCUUGUUCUCGCUGUCUGCUCAUUGCUACUGUCUGAUAUGUUGACAUUCUCCACCGCUUAAAAUACAACUUGUCCCCAAGCUGUGAUAUGCAUAACCACCAGGAUCCCAAACUAAGACUUUGAAAUUGCCUUGGCCACUAGUGACAGCACCUAGACUAGAAGAAACAAGGCCAACAGCCAUACCAAUUCCUGAACCAGCUCGACAAACGAUUGUCGUGAUUUCCUUGACAAACGAUGUCUGAUCACCCAGUACCAAUACGUCUUGCUGUCGAAUCUGUUGCUGAAUCGAAUCUCGAAGACAAAAUGUAGCAGCCGCAUGCGCUCCGGACCACGCUGUACAAUAUAGCGUCAAUAUCAACUGUUCAUUUGAGUCUGGUUUCUGUUCUGGACUACCCUCCAUACACAAAAAUUCACAUACCUCUUCGAUGGCGUGGAACUGCACACAUUUGUGACCAUUAAACCUCUUCUCAGCCCAAUGGUCGCAUAACCCCAGUGUGUGGUGAUAAUUCUUCAGCGAAGACACCCGAUCAGAUGCUGACGCUGCACGCAUUAGCUGAUAUCCAUCCAACAAAGAAGCUAAUUCAGCAGCCUCUUCAUGACUGCAGCCAAGUGUCCCCCAUGAUGAUUUCAGAGCCACGCGAGAUGAAUCUUUGGCUUCGGAUGUACGUCCAACUCUUUUUAAAAUCUCUGCAUUGAACACAAAGGUUCUACCAAAUCCAGGAAAUUGCACUCUACAAUAGAAUUCUUUAGUAUACAAACUAUCCAAGGAAGUGGGUGGUGGCCAUGGAAUUGGACGUAAAGCAGCACUGCCACACCAGAACUCAACAUGAAUAUGAGGUGGUGGCCAAGGCUGACGAUGUGGUGUUGCAUCCCAGCUGAAACAUCUUUGUAAGAGGUUGAAGCAAAUCAUCAAACACCUGUUGGGCGAGUUGGUGAUAACCUCCUCUUCUGCCGACACCACCAACUGUACCAUAGAAGAAACCGGGGAUAGAGCAGCUUCGAUGUAAGGAUCGAGGGGGAGCGGGUCCAUGAGCUGGUUCAUGAGCCCGCCGUUGAGGAACUUGGAGUGCUCGUCCAGGAUGUACUUGAAAGGGAAAUAGGCUCACACCUUUUCCUAAAUGAUUUUGGUGGUUGAAUUGCCCAACACAAAUAAUUGUACUAACUAGUUUGCUCUAGAUUAUAAGUUCUACAGGUGCCAAAGGUUCAACACAAAACAAUAAAAAGUCCAAGAAAGGGUUCAAAUAAAAAAGAGCAAAAGACAACCGAAGGCUGCCCUGGUCUGGCGCACCGGACUGUCCGGUGUGCCACCGGACAGUGUCCGGUGCACCAGGGAGAAUCACUUCGAACUCCUCAGCUUCGGGUUUCUGGAAAAUGUUCUCCGCUAUAAUUCACCAGACUGUCCGGUGUGGCACCGGACUGUCCGGUGUGCCAUGCAGAGCAAUGGCUAACUGCGUCAACGGUCGUCUGCAAAAUCUACAAGAACAGUGAACAGUGCGCGACUGCGCGCGCAGAGUCAGAGCAGGCGCCAGAAGGCGCACCGGACAGUGAACAGGACCUGUCCAGUGGCCCCACCUGUCAGAGCUCUAACGGUCGAACCCUAACAGUUGAGUGACGUGGCUGGCGCACCGGACAAUGUCCGGUGGCACAUUGGACUGUCCGGUGCGCCCUUCGACAACAGCCUUCCCCAACGGCCACUUUGGUGGUUGGGGCUAUAAAUACCCCCAACCACCACACUUCAAGGCAUCCAAGUUUUCAGCCAACACAUUCAAUACAAGAGCUAGUGCAUUCAAAACAAGACACAAUUAGAGUGAAUCAAAAUCUCUCCAAGUCUCAAUUCCACUCAAAGCAAUAGUGACUAGAAGAGAGAGUUUUGUCGUGUUCUUUUGAGCUCUUGUGCUUGGAUCGCUUUUCUUCUUCCCAUUUCUUGUUCCAAAGUUCUUUGUAAUCAAAGCAAGAUACACCAAUUGUGUGGUGGUCCUUGUGGGGACUAAGUGUCCCAAUUGAUUGAGAAGAGAAGCUCACUCGGUCUAAGUGAUCGUUUGAGAGAGGGAAAGGGUUGAAAGAGACCCGAUCUUUGUGACCACCUCAACAAGGAGUAGGUUUGCAAGAACCGAACCUCGAUAAAACAAAUCACUGUGUCACACUCUUCAUUUUCUUGUGAUUUGUUUUCGCCCUCUCUUUCGGACUCGACUUUAUUUUUAACGCUAACCCUGACUUGUAGUUGUGCUUAAACUUUAUAAAUUUCAAAUUUGCCUAUUCACCCCCCUCUAGGCGACUUUCAAUUGGUAUCAGAGCCCGGUACUUCAUUAGAGCCUAACCGCUCGAAGUGAUGUCGGGAGCUCACGCCAAGAAGGAGAUGGUGACCGGCGAGAAGCCCGCCAUAAGCCACGGGAAAGCUCCAUCGGGAGAGUCCGGCAACAAGAAGAGGGAGGAAUCACCUCCCCGCGUCAAGUCGCACCGGAGUGGCGACAAGAAGAAGAAAAUGAAGAAAGUGGUCUACUACGAGACCGAUUCUUUGUUGCCUUCCACCUCCAGCUCCGACACACCGUCCGUCACUUCUAAGCGCCAUGAGCGCAAGAAGUUUAGUAAGAUCCCAUUACGCUAUCUUCGCAUUUCCAAACACACUCCUUUACUUUCCGUCCCACUAGGCAAACCACCGUUUUUUUACGGUGAAGAUUAUUGUAUGUGGAGUGAUAAAAUGAGGCACCAUCUAACCUCACUCCACGCUAGCAUUUGGGACAUUGUUGAAUUUGGAGCGCAGGAACCAUCCGUGGGGGAUGAAGGCUAUGAUUCGGACGAGGUAGCCCAAAUCCGACACUUCAACUCCCAAGCCACUACUAUACUCCUCGCCUCUCUAAGUCGAGAGGAGUAUAAUAAGGUGCAAGGGUUGAAAAGUGCCAAGGAGAUUUGGGACGUGCUCAAGACCGCGCACGAAGGAGACGAGGUGACCAAGAUCACCAAGCGGGAAACGAUCGAGGAGGAGCUCGGUCGAUUUAUGCUCAACCAAGGAGAGGAGCCACAAGCCAUGUACAACCGGCUCAAGGCCUUGGUGAACCAAGUGCGUAACCUCGGGAGCACCAAGUGGGAUGACCAUGAAAUGGUCAAGGUUAUUCUAAGAUCACUUGUAUUUCUUAAUCCUACUCAAGUUCAAUUAAUUCGUGGUGAUCCUAGAUACCAUCUAAUGUCUCCCGAGAAGGUUAUAGGGAAGUUUGUGAGCUUUGAGUUGAUGAUCAAAGGCUCCAAACAAAUCAUCGAGCGAGGUGCCACCUCAACACCCGAGGUGCAACUUGUCGCCUUCAAAGCGACGGAGGAGAAGAAAGAAGAGUCUACAUCAAGUAGGCUCCCCAUCGAUGCCUCCAAGCUCGACAACGAGGAAAUGACGCUCAUCAUCAAGAGCUUCCGCCAAAUCCUCAAGCAAAGGAGGGGGAAGGAUUACAAGCCCCGCUCUAAGAAAGUUUGCUACAAGUGUGGUAAGCCCGGUCAUUUUAUUGCUAAAUGUCCAUUAUCUAGUGAUAGUGACAGGGGCGACGACAAGAAGGGAAAGAGGAGGGAAAAGAAGAGAUACUACAAGAAGAAGGGCGGCGAUGCCCAUGUUUGCCGGGAGUGGGACUCCGAUGAGAGAUCCACCGACUCCUCCUCCGACGAGGACGCCGCAAACAUCACUGUCAACAAGGGUCUUCUCUUCCCCAACGUCGGCCACAAAUGCCUCAUGGCAAAGGAUGACAAAAAGAAGGUAAAAUCUAGAGCCUCCACUAAAUAUGCAACAUCUAGUGAUGAGGAUAACUCUAGUGAUGAUGAAGAUAACUUGCUUGCCCUUUUUGCCAACCUAAACAUGCAACAAAAGGAAAAUUAAAUAAAUUAAUAGGUGCUAUUCAUGAGAAGGAUGAACUCUUGGAUAGCCAAGAGAACUUCCUUAUUAAGGAAAAUAAGAAGCAUGUUAAGGUUGAAAAUGCUUAUGCUCAGGAAGUAGAAAAAUGUGAAAAAUUGACUAGUGAGCUAAGCACUUGCUAUGAUAUUAUCUCAAACCUUAGAAAUAAAAAUGCAAAAUUAAUUGCUAAGGUUGAGAAGUUAGAUGUUUGUGAUGAUUCAAUUGUUAGUCUUAGAAAUGAUAAUGCUAGUUUGAUUACUAAGAUUGACAAGUUGAAUGCAUCACUCUCUAGCCUUAAAAUUGAGAAUGAAAAAUUAAUUGCUAAGGCUAAAGAUUUAAAUGUUUGCAAUGUUUCUAUUUCCAAUCUUAGAGACGAGAAUGCUAUUUUACAUGCUAAGAUUGAUGAAUUAAAUGCUUGCAAACCCUCUACAUCUACUGUUAGCCAUGUCUCUAUUUGCACUAGAUGUAGAGAUAUUAAUGUUGAUGCUAUCCAUGAUCACAUUGCUAUGAUUAAACAACAAAAUGAUCAUAUAGAAAAAUUAGAUGCUAAAAUUGUUGAGCAUGAAUUAGAGAAUGAAAAUUUUAAAUUUGCUCGUAGUAUGCUUUAUAGUGGGAGACGCCCUGGCAUUAAGGAAGGCAUUGGCUUCCAAAAGGGAGGAAAUGUCAAGCUCAAUGCCUCUAAAAGAUUAUCUAAUUUUGUUAAGGGCAAAGCUCCCAUGCCUCAGGGUAACGAGGGCUAUAUUUUAUAUCCUGCUGGUUAUCCUGAGGAUAAGAUUAGGAGAAUUCAUGAUAAGAAGACUCAUUCUGUUUCACACCAUGCUUUUAUUUAUAAGAAUGAGGCUUCUAUCUCUAGGUUUUCUACCCAUGUUAAAAUGCCUAAAAAGAAAUCUCUUAUUGCAUCAAAUGAUCAUAACAUUUCAUUUAAGACUUUUGAUGCUUCAUAUGUGUUAACUAACAAAUCAGGCAAAGUAGUUGCCAAAUAUGUUGGGGCCAAACACAAGGGCUCAAAGACUUGUGUUUGGGUACCCAAGGUGCUUGUUUCUAAUGUGAAAGGACCCAAGACCGUUUGGGUACCUAAGAACAAGGCCUAAACUUGUUUUGUAGGUUUAUGCAUCCGGGGGCUCAAGUUGGAUAAUUGAUAGCGGGUGCACAAACCACAUGACUGGGGAGAAAAGGAUGUUCUCCUCCUAUGAGAAAAACCAUGAUCCUCAAAGAGCUAUCACAUUCGGGGAUGGAAAUCAAGGUUUGGUCAAAGGACUUGGUAAAAUUGCUAUAUCACCUGACCAUUCUAUUUCCAAUGUUUUUCUUAUAGAUUCUUUAGACUAUAACUUGCUUUCAGUUUCUCAAUUAUGCAAAAUGGGCUACAAUUGUCUUUUUACGGAUAUAGGCGUUACUGUCUUUAGAAGAAGUGAUGAUUCAAUAGCAUUUAAGGGAGUACUCGAGGGUCAGCUAUACUUAGUUGAUUUUAAUAGAGCUGAACUUGACACUUGCUUAAUUGCUAAGACUAAGGUCUUGUUCGGUUAUUCCCAAUACACAUGGAUUGGAUGGGAUUGGAAAAAAUUCUUAAGAAGUUUGACUUGUUUGGGAUUCAAACCCAUCCAAUCCCACUCAAUCCACAUGGAUUGAGAGCUAACCGAACAAGCCCUAACAUGGGUUGGUUGUGGCACCGCCGACUAGCCCACGUUGGGACGAAGAAUCUUCACAAACUUCUAAAGGGAGAGCACAUUUUGGGACUAACAAAUGUUCAUUUUGAGAAAGAUGGGAUUUGUAGCGCAUGUCAAGCAGGGAAGCAAGUUGGUGUUCAUCAUCCACACAAGAACAUCAUGACGACUGACAGGCCGCUUGAGCUACUCCACAUGGACCUAUUCGGCCCGAUAGCUUACAUAAGCAUCGGCGGGAGUAAGUAUUGUCUAGUUAUUGUGGAUGAUUAUUCUCGCUUCACUUGGGUGUUCUUUUUGCAGGAAAAAUCUCAAACCCAAGAGACCUUAAAAGGAUUCUUAAGACGGGCUCAAAAUGAGUUCGGCUUAAGGAUCAAAAAGAUAAGAAGCGACAACGGGACGGAGUUCAAGAACUCUCAAAUAGAAGGCUUUCUUGAGGACGAGGGCAUCAAGCAUGAGUUCUCUUCUCCCUACACGCCACAACAAAAUGGUGUAGUGGAUAGGAAGAAUAGAACUCUACUUGACAUGGCGAGGACCAUGCUUGAUGAGUACAAGACUUCGGAUCGGUUUUGGGCGGAAGCAAUCAACACCGCUUGCUACGCCAUCAACCGUCUCUACCUUCACCGAAUCCUCAAGAAGACAUCAUAUGAAUUCCUAACCGGUAAAAAGCCCAAUGUCUCAUAUUUUAGAGUCUUUGGUAGCAAAUGUUUUAUUCUUGUUAAAAGAGGUAGAAAAUCUAAAUUUGCUCCUAAGGCUGUAGAAGGCUUUUUACUUGGUUAUGACUCAAACACAAGGGCAUAUAGAGUCUUUAACAAGUCCACUGGACUAGUUGAAGUUUCUUGUGACAUUGUGAAAGUCGCCUAGAGGGGGGGUGAAUAGGGCGAAACUGAAAUUUACAAAUAUAAACACAACUACAAGCCGGGUUAGCGUUAGAAAUGAAGAAACGAGUCCGAGAGAGAGGGCGCAAAACAAAUCGCAAGCAAAUGAAGAGUGUGACACACGGAUUUGUUUUACCGAGGUUCGGUUCUUGCAAACCUACUCCCCGUUGAGGAGGCCACAAAGGUCGGGUCUCUUUCAACCCUUCCCUCUCUCAAACGAUCCCUCGGAUCGAGUGAGCUUUCUCUUCUCAAUCACUUGGAACACAAAGUUCCCACAAGGACCACCACAAGUUUGGUGUCUCUUGCCUCAAAUACAAGUGAGUUUGAUCGCAAUGAAAGAAUCAAGAAGGAAGAAAGCAAUCCAAGCGCAAGAGCUCGAAAGAACACAAGCAAAUCUCUCUCACUAGUCACUAUGGCGUUGUGUGGAAUUUGGAGAGGAUUUGAUCUCUUUGGUGUGUCUAGAAUUGAAUGCUAGAGCUCUUGUAGUAGUUGGGAAGAGGAAAACUUGGAUGCAAUGAAUGGUGGGGUGGUUGGGGUAUUUAUAGCCCCAACCACCAAAUGUGGCCGUUGGGAGGCUGUCUGUUCGAUGGCGCACCGGACAGGUACUGUUUGCUGUCCGGUGUGCCAGUAUGGGCGCGCCUGACUUCUGCGCGCACUGCGCGCGCAUUUAAUGCGCCGCAGGUAGCCGUUGGCGCCGACUAGCCGUUGCUCCGGAGUUGCACCGGAUAGUCCGGUACACACCGGACAUGUCCGGUGAAUUUUAGCGGACUAGCCGUUGGAGUUUCCCGAAGCUGGCGAGUUCCUGAGGCCGCUCUUCCUUGGCGCACCGGACACUGUCCGGUGUACACCGGACAGUCCGGUGAAUUAUAGCGCGAGUGCCUCUGGAAAUUCCUGAAGGUGGCGAGUUUGAGUUGGAGUCCUCUGGUGCACCGGACACCGUCCGGUGGUGCACCGGACACUGUCCGGUGUACACCGGACAGUCCGGUGCUCCCAGACCAGAGGGCCUUCGGUUGCCACUUUGCUCCUUUGUUGAAUCCAAAACUUGGUCUUUUUAUUGGCUGAGUGUGAACCUUUUACACCUGUAUAAUCUAUACACUUGGGUAAACUAGUUAGUCCAAUUAUUUGUGUUGGGCAAUUCAACCACCAAAAUGAAUUAGGGACUAGGUGUAAGCCUAAUUCCCUUUCAAUCUCCCCCUUUUUGGUGAUUGAUGCCAACACAAACCAAAGCAAAUAUAGAAGUGUAUAAUUGAACUAGUUUGCAUAAUGUAAGUGCAAAGGUUGCUUAGAAUUUGAGCCAAUAUAAAUACUUACAAGAUAUGCAUGGAUUGUUUCUUUCUUAUAACAUUUUGGACCACGUUUACACCACAUGUUUUGUUUUUGCAAACUCUUUUGUAAAUCAUUUUCAAAGUUCUUUUGCAAAUAGUCAAAGGUAAAUGAAUAAGAUUUUUGCAAAGCAUUUUCAAGAUUUGAAAUUUUCUCCCCCUGUUUCAAAUGCUUUUCCUUUGACUAAACAAAACUCCCCCUAAAUGAGAUUCUCCUCUUAGUGUUCAAGAGGGUUUUGAUAUAUCAUUUUGAAAUACUACUUUCUCCCCCUUUUGAACACAAUAGGAUACCAAUUGAAAAUAUUCAACACUUAAGUUUUUGAAAUUGGUGGUGGUGCGGUCCUUUUGCUUUGGGCUCUUACUUUCUCCCCCUUUGGCAUGAAUCGCCAAAAAACGGAAUCAUUAGAGCCCUCGAAGUGCUUUCUUCCCCUUUGGUCAUAAAUAAAUGAGUUAAGAUUAUACCAAAGACGAAGUCUUUUUGCUUGGUGCUCAAGUUUUCUCCCCCUUGAACGGAGAGGUGCUUGGAGCGACGGCGAAGGAUGAGUUACGUAGUGGAAGCCUUUGUCUUCGCCUAAGACUCCAAUUUCCUUUCAAUACACCUAUGACUUGGUUUGAAAUAGACUUGAAAACACAUUAGUCAUAGCAUAUGAAAGAGAUAUGAUCAAAGGUAUACAAAUGAGCUAUGAGUGCAAGUUAACAAAAGAAAUUCCUAGAAUCAAGAAUAUUUAGCUCAUGCCUAAGUUUGUUAAAAGAUUGUUCAUCAAGAGGCUUGGUAAAGAUAUCGGCUAAUUGAUCUUUAGUAUUAAUGUAAGAAAUCUUGAUAUCUCCCUUUUGUUGGUGAUCCCUAAGAAAAUGAUAUCGAAUGGCUAUGUGCUUAGUGCGGCUAUGCUCGACGGGAUUGUCGGCCAUUUUGAUUGCACUCUCAUUGUCACAUAGCAAAGGGACUUUGGUUAAUUUGUAACCGUAGUCCCGCAGGGUUUGCCUCAUCCAAAGCAAUUGCGCGCAACAAUGACCUGCGGCAAUGUACUCGGCUUCGGCGGUUGAAAGAGCGACCGAAUUUUGCUUCUUUGAAGCCCAAGACACCAAGGAUCUUCCCAAGAACUGGCAAGUCCCCGAUGUGCUCUUCCUAUUGAUUUUGCACCCCGCCCAAUCGGCAUCCGAAUAACCAAUUAAAUCAAAUGUGGAUCCCCUAGGAUACCAAAGCCCAAACUUAGGAGUAUAGGCCAAAUAUCUCAAGAUUCAUUUUACGGCCGUAAGGUGAGCUUCCUUAGGGUUGGCUUGGAAUCUUGCACACAUGCAUACGGAAAGCAUAAUGUCCGGUCGAGAUGCACAUAAAUAGAGUAAAGAUCCUAUCAUCGACCGGUAUACCUUUUGAUCCACGGACUUACCUCCCGUGUCGAGGUCGAGAUGCCCAUUAGUUCCCAUGGGUGUCUUGAUGGGCUUGACAUCCUUCAUCCCAAACUUGUUGAGAAUAUCUUGUGUAUACUUCGUUUGGCUAAUGAAGGUGCCCUCUUGGAGUUGCUUCACUUGAAAUCCUAGAAAAUACUUCAACUCCCCCAUCAUUGACAUCUCGAAUUUCUGUGUCAUGAUCCUACUAAAUUCCUCACAAGUAGAUUCGUUAGUAGACCCAAAUAUGAUAUCAUCAACAUAAAUUUGGCAUACAAACAAAUCAUUUUCAAGAGUUUUCGUGAAUAGAGUAGGAUCGGCUUUACCGACUUUGAAGCCAUUAGCAAUAAGGAAAUCUCUAAGGCAUUCAUACCAUGCUCUUGGGGCUUGCUUGAGCCCAUAAAGCGCCUUAGAGAGCUUAUAGACAUGGUUAGGAUACUCACUGUCUUCAAAGCCGGGAGGUUGCUCAACAUAGACCUCUUCCUUGAUUGGUCCAUUGAGGAAAGCACUUUUCACGUCCAUUUGAUAAAGCUUAAAGCCAUGGUAAGUAGCAUAGGCCAAUAAUAUUCGAAUUGACUCAAGCCUAGCUACGGGUGCAUAAGUUUCACCGAAAUCCAAACCUUCGACUUGGGAGUAUCCCUUGGCCACAAGUCGAGCUUUGUUCCUUGUCACCACACCAUGCUCAUCUUGCUUGUUGCGGAAGACCCAUUUGGUCCCUACAACAUUUUGGUUAGGACGUCGAACUAAAUGCCAUACCUCAUUUCUAGUGAAGUUGUUGAGCUCCUCUUGCAUCGCCACCACCCAAUCCGAAUCUUGGAGUGCUUCCUCUACCCUGUGUGGCUCAAUAGAGGAAACAAACGAGUAAUGUUCACAAAAAUGUGCAACACGAGAUCGAGUAGUUACCCCCUUAUGAAUGUCGCCGAGGAUGGUGUCGACGGGGUGAUCUCGUUGGAUUGCUUGGUGAACUCUUGGGUGUGGCGGCCUUUGUUCCUCUUCCUCCUUGUCUUCCUCAUUUGCAUCUCCCCCUUGAUCAUUGCCAUUAUCUUGAGGUGGCUCAUUUGCUUGAUCUUCUACAUCAUCAACUUGAGCUUCAUCCUCAUUUUGAGUUGGUGGAGAUGCUUGCGUGGAGGAGGAAGGUUGAUCUUGUGCAUUUGGAGGCUCUUCGGAUUCCUUAGGACACACAUCCCCAAUGGACAUGUUCCUUAGCGCGAUGCAUGGAGCCUCUUCUUCACCUAUCUCAUCAAGAUCAACUUGCUCUACCUGAGAGCCGUUAGUCUCAUCAAACACAACGUCACAUGAGACUUCAACUAGUGCAGUGGACUUGUUAAAGACCCUAUAUGCCCUUGUGUUUGAGUCAUAACCAAGUAAAAAACCUUCUACAGUCUUAGGAGCAAAUUUAGAUUUUCUACCUCUUUUAACAAGAAUAAAGCAUUUGCUACCAAAGACUCUAAAAUAUGAAAUGUUGGGCUUUUUACCGGUUAGGAGUUCAUAUGAUGUCUUCUUGAGGAUUCGGUGUAGAUAUAACCGGUUGAUGGCGUAGCAGGCGGUGUUGACCGCCUCGGCCCAAAACCGAUCCGAAGUCUUGUACUCAUCAAGCAUGGUCCUUGCCAUGUCCAAUAGAGUUCGAUUCUUCCUCUCCACUACACCAUUUUGUUGAGGUGUGUAGGGAGAAGAGAACUCAUGCUUGAUGCCCUCCUCCUCAAGGAAGCCUUCGAUUUGAGAGUUCUUGAACUCUGUCCCGUUGUCGCUUCUUAUUUUCUUGAUCCUUAAGCCGAACUCAUUUUGAGCCCGUCUCAAGAAUCCCUUUAAGGUCUCUUGGGUUUGAGAUUUUUCCUGUAAAAAGAACACCCAAGUGAAGCGAGAAUAAUCAUCCACAAUAACUAGACAGUACUUACUCCCGCCGAUGCUUAUGUAAGCAAUUGGGCCGAAUAGAUCCAUGUGCAGGAGCUCCAGUGGCCUGUCGGUCGUCAUUAUGUUCUUAUGCGGAUGAUGAGUGCCAACUUGCUUCCCUGCUUGGCAUGCGCUACAAACCCUGUCUUUCGUCCUAAAAUGUGUUCUCCCUUUAGAAGCUUAUGAAGAUUCUUCAUCCCAACAUGGGCUAGUCGGCGAUGCCAGAGCCAACCCAUGUUAGUCUUAGCAAUUAAGCAAGUGUCGAGUUCAGCUCUAACAAAAUCUACCAAGUAUAGCUGACCCUCUAACACUCCCUUAAAUGCUAUUGAAUCAUCACUUCUUCUAAAGACAGUGACACCUACAUCAGUGAAUAGACAGUUGUAGCCCAUUUGACAUAAUUGAGAUACGGAAAGCAAAUUGUAAUCUAGAGAAUCUACAAGAAAAACAUUGGAAAUAGAAUGGUCAGGAGAUAUAGCAAUUUUACCCAAUCCUUUGACCAAACCUUGAUUUCCAUCCCCGAAUGUGAUCGCUCUUUGGGGAUCUUGGUUUUUCUCAUAUGAGGAGAACAUCUUUUUCUCUCCAGUCAUGUGGUUCGUGCACCCUCUGUCGAGUAUCCAACUUGAGCCCCCGGAUGCAUAAACCUACAAAACAAGUUUAGUUCUUGACUUUAGGUACCCAAAUGGUUUUGUGUCCUUUGGCAUUAGACACAAGAACCUUGGGUACCCAAACACAAGUCUUUGACCCCUUGUGCUUGCCCCCAACAUAUUUGGCAACUACCUUGCCGGAUUUGUUAGUCAGAACAUAAGAUGCAUCAAAAGUUUUAAAUGAAAUGCUUUGUUCAUUUGAUGCACUAGGAAUUUUCUUCUUAGGCAACUUAGCACGGGUUGGUUGCCUAGAGCUAGAUGUCUCACUCUUAUACAUAAAAGCAUGGUUAGAACCAGAGUGAGACUUCCUAGAAUGAAUUUUCCUAAUUUUGUCUUCGGGAUAACCGGCAGGGUAUAAAAUGUAACCCUCGUUAUCCUGAGGCAUGGGAGCCUUGCCCUUAACAAAGUUGGACAAUCUUUUAGGGGGGGCACUAAUUUUGACAUUGUCUCCCCUUUGGAAGCCAAUGCCAUCCUUGAUGCCCGGGCGUCUCCCACUAUAGAGCAUACUUCUAGCAAAUUUAAAUUUUUCUUUCUCUAAGUUAUGCUCGGUAAUUUUAGCAUCUAAUUUAGCUAUAUGAUCAUUUUGUUGUUUAAUUAAAGCCAUGUGAUCUUGUAUAGCAUCAAUGUUAAUAUAUCUACAUCUAGUGCAAAUAGAAGUGUGCUCAACGGUAGAUGUAGAGGGUUUGCAAGAUUUUAGUUCUACAACCUUAGCAUGCAAUAUUUCAUUUUUACUUCUAAGGUUGGAAAUAGUAACAUUGCAAACAUCUAGUUCUUUAGCCUUAGCAAUUAAAUUUUCAUUUUCUACUCUAAGGCUAGCAAGAGAAAUGUUCAAUUCUUCAAUCCUAGUAAGCAAAUCAUCAUUAUUAUCUCUAGGGUUGGGAAUUGAAACAUUGCAAACAUGAGAAUCAACCUUAGCUAACAAAUUAGCAUUUUCAUUUCUAAGGUUGUCUAUUGUUUCAUGGCAAGUGCUUAGCUCACUAGAUAAUUUUUGACAUUUUUCAAUUUCUAGAGCAUAAGCAUUUUUAACCUUAACAUGCUUCUUAUUUUCUUUAAUAAGGAAGUCCGCUUGGGUGUCCAAGAGAUCAUCCUUUUCAUGGAUGGCACUAAUCAAUUCAUUAAGUUUUUCCUUUUGUUGCAUGUUGAGGUUGGCAAAAAGAGUACGUAAAUUAUCCUCCUCAUCACUAGCAUUAUCAUCACUAGAAGAUUCAUAUUUAGUGGAGGAGUUAGAUUUAACCUUCUUCCGUUUGCCGUCCUUUGCCAUGAGGCACUUGUGGCCGACGUUGGGGAAGAGAAGCCCUUUGGUGACGGCGAUGUUGGCGGCGUCCUCGUCGUCGGAGGAGUCGCUUGAGCUUUCGUCGGAAUCCCACUCCCGACAAACAUGGGCAUCGCCGCCCUUCUUCUUGUAGUACCUCUUCUUCUCCUUUCUUCUCCCUUUCUUGUCGUCGCCUCGGUCACUGUCACUUGAUAUAGGACAUUUAGCAAUAAAAUGACCGGGCUUACCACAUUUGUAGCAAACCUUCUUGGAGCGGGACUUAUAGUCUUUCCCCCUCCUUUGUUUGAGGAUUUGGCGGAAGCUCUUGAUGACGAGCGCCAUUUCCUCAUUGUCAAGCUUGGAGGCGUCUAUUGGUUGUCGACUUGGGGUAGACUCCUCCUUCUUUUCUUCCGUUGCCUUGAAUGCGACGGGUUGAGCUUCGGAUGUAGAUGGAUCGUCAAGCUCGUUGAUCUUCCUCGAGCCUUCAAUCAUGCACUCAAAACUUAUAAAAUGCCCGAUAACUUCCUCGGGGGUCAUUUUAGUAUAUCUAGGAUUACCACGAAUUAAUUGGACUUGAGUAGGGUUAAGGAAAAUAAGAGAUCUUAGAAUAACCUUAACCACUUCAUGGUCAUCCCACUUUACGCUCCCGAGGUUGCGCACUUGGUUCACCAAGGUCUUGAGCCGGUUGUACAUGUGUUGUGGCUCCUCCCCUUUGCGAAGCCGGAACCGACCGAGCUCCCCCUCGAUCGUUUCCCGCUUGGUGAUCUUGGUGAGCUCGUCUCCCUCGUGCGCGGUUUUGAGCACAUCCCAAACCUCCUUUGCGCUCUUCAACCCUUGAACUUUGUUAUACUCCUCUCUACUCAAAGAGGCGAGGAGUAUUGUUGUUGCUUGAGAGUUAAAGUGCUCGAUUUGGGCCACCUCAUCCUCUUCAUAGUCUUUAUCCCCUACCGACGGUACCUGUGCACCAAACUCAACAACAUCCCAUAUACUUUUGUGGAGUGAGGUUAGAUGAAAUCGCAUUAAAUCACUCCACCUAGCAUAAUCUUCACCAUCAAAAGUUGGUGGUUUGCCUAAUGGGACGGAAAGUAAAGGUGCAUGUUUAGAAAUGCGAGGGUAGUGUAGGGGGAUCUUACUAAACUUCUUACGCUCUUGGCGUUUAGAAGUUACGGAGGGUGCAUCGGAGUCGGAGGUCGAUGUUGAUGAAGUGUCGGUCUCGUAGUAGACCACUUUCCUCAUCCUCUUUUGCUUGUUCCCGCUUCGAUGCGGCUUGUGGGAAGAAGAUUUUUCCUUCUUCUCUUUGUGGUGAGAAGAAGAUUUCUUCUCCUUCCCUUUGUUGGAGGAGAUCUUCUUCUUCUCCUUCCUCUUGGUGCGGGACUCUUCCGAUGAAGUGCUCCCGUGGCUUGUAGUAGGCUUUUCGCCGGUCUCUAUCUCCUUCUUGGCGUGAUCUCCCGACAUCACUUCGAGCGGUUAGGCUCUAAUGAAGCACCGUGCUCUGAUACCAAUUGAAAGUCGCCUAGAGGGGGGGUGAAUAGGGCGAAACUGAAAUUUACAAAUAUAAACACAACUACAAGCCGGGUUAGCGUUAGAAAUGAAGAAACGAGUCCGAGAGAGAGGGCGCAAAACAAAUCGCAAGCAAAUGAAGAGUGUGACACGCGGAUUUGUUUUACCGAGGUUCGGUUCUUGCAAACCUACUCCCCGUUGAGGAGGCCACAAAGGCCGGGUCUCUUUCAACCCUUCCCUCUCUCAAACGAUCCCUCGGAUCGAGUGAGCUUUCUCUUCUCAAUCACUUGGAACACAAAGUUCCCACAAGGACCACCACAAGUUUGGUGUCUCUUGCCUCAAUUACAAGUGAGUUUGAUCGCAAUGAAAGAAUCAAGAAGGAAGAAAGCAAUCCAAGCGCAAGAGCUCGAAAGAACACAAGCAAAUCUCUCUCACUAGUCACUAUGGCGUUGUGUGGAAUUUGGAGAGGAUUUGAUCUCUUUGGUGUGUCUAGAAUUGAAUGCUAGAGCUCUUGUAGUAGUUGGGAAGAGGAAAACUUGGAUGCAAUGAAUGGUGGGGUGGUUGGGGUAUUUAUAGCCCCAACCACCAAAUGUGGCCGUUGGGAGGCUGUCUGUUCGAUGGCGCACCGGACAGGUACUGUUUGCUGUCCGGUGUGCCAGUAUGGGCGCGCCUGACUUCUGCGCGCGCUGCGCGCGCAUUUAAUGCGCCGCAGGUAGCCGUUGGCGCCGACUAGCCGUUGCUCCGGAGUUGCACCGGACAUGUCCGGUGAAUUUUAGCGGACUAGCCGUUGGAGUUUCCCGAAGCUGGCGAGUUCCUGAGGCCGCUCUUCCUUGGCGCACCGGACACUGUCCGGUGUACACCGGACAGUCCGGUGAAUUAUAGCGCGAGUGCCUCUGGAAAUUCCCGAAGGUGGCGAGUUUGAGUUGGAGUCCUCUGGUGCACCGGACACCGUCCGGUGGUGCACCAGACACUGUCCGGUGCUCCCAGACCAGAGGGCCUUCGGUUGCCACUUUGCUCCUUUGUUGAAUCCAAAACUUGGUCUUUUUAUUGGCUGAGUGUGAACCUUUUACACCUGUAUAAUCUAUACACUUGGGUAAACUAGUUAGUCCAAUUAUUUGUGUUGGGCAAUUCAACCACCAAAAUGAAUUAGGGACUAGGUGUAAGCCUAAUUCCCUUUCACAUUGUGUUUGAUGAGACUAAUGGCUCUCAAGUAGAGCAAGUUGAUCUUGAUGAGCUAGAUGAUGAAGAGGCCCCGUGCGUCGCGCUAAGGAACAUGUCCAUUGGGGAUGUGUAUCCUAAGGAAUCCAAAGAGUCUCCACAUGCACAAGAUCAACCAUCAUCUUCAAUUCAAGCAUCUCCACCAACCCAAGAUGAGGAUCAAGCUUAAGAAGAUGAAACUGAAGAUCAAGAAGAUGAGCUACCUCAAGAGGAGGACAAUGAUCAAGGGGGAGAUACCCAUGAUCAAGACAAGGAAGAUGAUGAGGGUCCAAGACCGCCACACCUAAGGGAUUUGGAUUGGGUGUUGGCAAUGCAAGAGGAACUCAACAACUUCACAAGGAAUGAGGUAUGGCAUCUUGUUCCAUGUCCUAACCAAAAUGUUGUGGGAACCAAGUGGGUCUUCCGCAACAAGCAAGAUGAGCAUGGUGUGGUGACAAGGAACAAAGCCCGACUUGUGGCCAAAGGAUAUUCACAAGUCGAAGGUUUGGAUUUCAGUGAAACCUAUGCACCCGUAGCUAGGCUUGAGUCAAUUCGCAUAUUACUUGCCUAUGCUACUUAUCAUGGCUUCAAGCUUUAUCAAAUGGAUGUGAAGAGUGCCUUCCUCAAUGGACUAAUCAAGGAGGAGGUUUAUGUUGAGCAACCUCCCGACUUUGAAGAUAGUGAGUACCCUAACCAUGUCUAUAAACUCUCAAAGGCGCUUUAUGGGCUCAAGCAAGCCCCAAGAGCAUGGUAUGAAUGCCUAAGAGAUUUUCUUAUCGCUAAUGGCUUCAAAGUCGGAAAAGCCGAUCCUACUCUCUUUACUAACACAAUUGCAAAUGAUUUGUUUGUAUGCCAAAUUUAUGUUGAUGAUAUCAUAUUUGGGUUUACUAACAAAUCUACAUGUGAAGAGUUUAGUAGGAUCAUGAUUCAAAAAUUCGAGAUGUCUAUGAUGGGGGAGUUGAAGUAUUUUCUAGGAUUUCAAGUCAAGCAACUCCAAGAGGGCACCUUCAUCAGCCAAACGAAGUACAUUCAAGACAUACUCACCAAGUUUGGAAUGAAGGAUGCCAAGUCUAUCAAGACACCCAUGGGAACUAAUGGGCAUCUCGACCUCGACACGGGAGGUAAAUCCGUAGAUCAAAAGGUAUACCGAUCGAUGAUACGUUCUUUACUCUAUUUAUGUGCAUCUCGACCGGACAUUAUGCUUUCCGUAUGCAUGUGUGCAAGAUUUCAAGCCGAUCCUAAGGAAGUUCACCUUAGGGCCGUGAAACGAAUCUUGAGAUAUUUAGUCUAUACACCUAAGUUUGGUCUUUAGUACCCCGAGGGAUCCACUUUUGAUUUAAUAGGAUAUUCAGAUGCUGAUUGGGCAGGGUGUAAGAUUGAUAGAAAGAGCACAUCAGGGACUUGUCAGUUAUUGGGAAGAUCCCUGGUGUCUUGGGCUUCAAAGAAACAAAAUUCAGUAGCUCUUUCUACCGCCGAAGCCGAGUACAUUGUCGCAGGCCAUUGUUGCGCGCAAUUACUUUGGAUGAGGCAAACCCUUAGGGACUAUGGUUACAAAUUAACCAAAGUCCCUCUCCUAUGUGAUAAUGAGAGUGCAAUCCGCAUGGCGGAUAAUCCCGUUGAGCACAGCCGCACUAAGCACAUAGCCAUUUGGUAUCACUUUUUGAGAGAUCACCAACAAAGGGGCGAUAUCGAGAUUGCAUAUGUCAGCACCAAAGAACAAUUAGCCGAUAUCUUUACCAAGCCAUUAGAUGAGAAAACUUUUACCAAACUUAGGCAUGAGCUAAACAUUCUUGAUUCUAGGAAUUUUGAUUAAUACCUUGCACACAUAGCUAAUUUAUAUACCUUUGAUCAUCUCUCUUUCAUGUGCUAUGACUAAUGUGGUUUUCAAGUGUAUUUCAUGCUAAGUCAUAGAUUGAAAGGGAAAUGGAGUUCUUCGGCGAAGACAAGGCUUCCACUCCACUCCAUUGAAUUAUUCAUCCUUCACCGUCACUCCGCACCGCUCUCCAAUUUGGUAUAAUCUUCACUCAUAUAUUGUUUGCCAAAGGGGAGAGAAAGUAAAAGGGCUCAUAUUUCACUCACAAGUAUCCGUUUUGGCGAUUCAUGCCAAAGGGGGAGAAAGUAUUAGCCCAAAGCAAAAGGACCGCACCACCACCAAUUUCAAAAAUGUAGUCUUUCAAUUUGUAUUAAAGAAGUUUUUCAAUUGGUAUCUUAUUUUUGAUAUAAUUUCAAAUUGGUAUGACCUCUUUCAAAAUUAAUAUCUAAAACCCUCUUGAACACUAAGAGAAGAAUUUCAUGGAGGGGGGGAGUUUUGUUUAGUCAAAGGAAAAACAUUAGAAACAGGGGGAGAAAAUUUCAAAUCUUGAAAAUGCUUCUCGAAAUCUUAUUCAUUUACCUUUGACUAUUUGCAAAAAGACUUUGAAAAGAAUUUCCAAAAUAGUUUGCAAAAACAAAACAAGUGGUGCAAGCGUGGUCCAAAAUGUUAAAAGAAAUAAAGCAUCCAUGCAUAUCUUAUGAAAUGUAAAUUGGUUUAAUUCCAAGUAACCUUUGCACUUACCUUAUGCAAACUAGUUUAAUUCUGCACUUAUAUAUUUGCUUUGGUUUGUGUUGGCAUCAAUCACCAAAAAGAGGGAGAUUGAAAGGGAAAUAGGCUCGCACCUUUUCCUAAAUGAUUUUGGUGGUUGAAUUGCCUAACACAAAUAAUUGGACUAACUAGUUUGCUCUAGAUUAUAAGUUCUACAGGUGCCAAAGGUUCAACACAAACCAAUAAAAAGUCAAAGAAAGGGUUCAUAUAAAAAGGAGCAAAAGACAACCGAAGGCUGCCCUGGUCUGACGCAUCGGACUGUCCGGUGCGCCACCGGACAGUGUCCAGUGCACCAGGGAGAAUCACUCCAAACUCCUCAGCUUCGGGUUUCUGGAAAAUGUUCUCCGCUAUAAUUCACCGGACUGUCCGGUGUGGCACCGGACUGUCCGGUGUGCCAUGCGGAGCAAUGGCUAACUGCGCCAACGGUCAUCUGCAAAAGCUACAGAAACAGUGAACAGUGUGCGACUGCGCGAGCAGAGUCAGAGCAGGCGCCAGAAGGCGCACCGAACAGUAAAACAGGACCUGGCCGGUGCACCACCGGACUGUCCGGUGGCCCCACCUGUCAGAGCUCCAAUGGUCGAACCCUAACGGUUGGGUGAUGUGGCUGACGCACCGGACAGUGUCCGGUGGCACACCGGACUGUCCGGUGCGCCCUUCGACAGCAGCCUUCCCCAACGGGCACUUUGGUGGUUGGGACUAUAAAUACCCCCAACCACCACACUUCAAGGCAUCCAAGUUUUCAGCCAACACAUUCAAUACAAGAGCUAGUGCAUUCAAUACAAGACACAAUCAGAGUGAAUCAAAAUCUCUCCAAGUCCCAAUUCCACUCAAAGCAAUAGUGACUAGAAGAGAGAGUUUUGCCGUGUUAUUUUGAGCUCUUGCGCUUGGAUCGCUUUUCUUCUUCCCAUUUCUUGUUCCAAAGUUCUUUGUAAUCAAAGCAAGAGACACCAAUUGUGUGGUGGUCCUUGUGGGGACUAAGUGUCCCAAUUGAUUGAGAAGAGAAGCUCACUCGGUCUAAGUGACCGUUGGAUAGAGGGAAAGGGUUGAAAGAGACCCGGUCUUUGUGACCACCUCAACGGGGAGUAGGUUUGCAAGAACCGAAUCUCGGUAAAACAAAUCACUGUGUCACACUCUUCAUUUGCUUGUGAUUUGUUUUUGCCCUCUCUUUCGGACUCGACUUUAUUUCUAACGCUAACCCCGGCUUGUAGUUGUGCUUAAACUUUAUAAAUUUCAGAUUUGCCUAUUCACCCCCUCCCCUCUAGGCGACUUUCAGUACUCCUUGGUGUCGAGGUCGAAGUGGCCAACCUCGUCCUCCAUGCUCGUCGGCGUGUACGCCCGCAAGUAGGACUUCAUGUCGACGCUGGCGCAGUCGAAGUCAUGUGUGCUCAUGUGAAGGCUGAGCACCUAGUUCGACGAUGCCAGGGAGAAGAUGAGGCGGACGUCACGGGCCAGCCUCGUCCUGUUGACGAGCUGGCAACGGAUCUUCUUGCACGGGUUGGGAAGCGUGGCGGUCGCAGGAACACUGCCUGCCUCGCUGUGGGACAGCUCAUAGCCGCCGCCGCCGUGGACGGCGCUGACGGGGUCGACGGUCAGGUGCUGGAGCGGACGACGUUGUAGCCGCGUGCGAUGCAGGACGCGGUUGGUGCUGUAUUCGUUGGAUUUGGGCGCGCCCACGAUGCAGACCACGAGGAGGUUGGGGACGGAGUAUGCGCCACGGUUGAGGCCCAUUCUCGAACACCUGGUGGACGUGGUCGUGAGAACCUCCUCCUCCUCUGCAUCGGUGUUGGGGACGAGUGGAGGUAACGGGUCCAGGUGCUUGAUCCUCGCCUUGAUGAUGAGGUCGAAGUGCCUGUCGACGACGAUGAAUGUCUGGAUCAGCCCUGAGGUCGUGUGUUCGACCUCGUCUGCGAUGCUCCAGAUAUGCUGGCUGAUGCCGCCGAUGAGCCCGUCGUGGAUCUUCUCAUCCGGGUUCCGACGGAACAGCGUCGCGCCCUCGGGGAGGCACGGGUAGCGCGGUGACCCACUGGUGUCGACGUUCGAGUCGAGCGUCGCGCCGGGGUUGAGCGGCGCAUGGACGUGGACAACGCCUGAAUCGUCGUCAGCCGCGUUGGCGCUCGCGGCGUCCUCGUCCAACCCGUCGAGCUCCUGGAGGAGGUCGUCGUCGGGGUUGGCGAUAGUAUCGACAGACGAUUGUGGCGUGGUGUAGCGGUCGUCGUCGUAGAGUGGCGGGAUGAAGCGGUCGAAUACCGAGCCGGCGAGGAGCGUGGUCGAUGAAUGCAUCUCAUCGGACCCCAGGAACGCAAGCACUGUGGCGGUCUGCUGCAGGCCAAAGUUGUUUCCCGAAUCCAAGGACGCCACCUUUGCAGCGUCGUCGUGGACCAGAGGUGGAAGGCAUGCCUCGCCGCGGUACUGUGUGUUGACGACGGAAGAAGGAGACGUGGAUCCGUGGAAGGAGGAAGUGCGCUCGCGUGAGGACUGUUCGUCGUAGCGACCAGCCAGCACAUCGGUCAAGCGUGCCUCCGUGCGCGCCAGUGCGUCCAGAAUAUCCUGUAUCGCGGCCUCCAUCGAGUCCUAGUCUGAUACCAAAUGUUAGCAACACAUGGGAAGGGGGAUCGGAGAGGAAGAGUUCAGAGGAGAAUGAGACUUGGAGAAGGGAAUAGCUAGGAGGAAGGCGAGUUUGUGUGAUGUUUGAUAGCUAAAUUGUUCAUGUCCUAUUACACAAGUUUUUGUCUUUUAUAUAGUACUACUAGAACAUCAAGCGAUCUAUAGAUAGUUGACCCACUACUUGGGUCAUAUUGGCUCAGUAACCUUAGCGUUUGGACGACGGACUCUCGCGUUCCAUGGCUUGUUCUCGCUGUCUGCUCAUUGCUCCUGUCUGAGAUGCUGACACAACAGCAGCAGACGGCGGACGCUGUCUUUCAAGCUUGCUUGGACCGACUCCGCCUCGGUGACGGCGGCAGCAGCUGCUGCUUGUUCCUCUUGUUGUUGGCUGCCGAGAGGGUCCUGUCUGAGUAGCGAGCAGAUGGAGUCGUAGUCCCAGGUGGUGGGCUGGUAGUUGGCCGACCGCCGCCUGCGCAUGUGCAACUGCAACGCAGGCGGCGACUCCAUGUCUACCGGCCCGUACGUUGGUGGUGGUCGGAGUCGGAGACGACGGUGAUCCCAACAGCCAACGCCGUGAUCGAUCGAUGAUGCCUGCAGCUAGUCUGUCGAUCGAAGCAAGAGGUGGUGGUGCCAGAGGCCUAGCUUUGCGAUCAGACGAAC
RNAcentral lists this long non-coding RNA (21854 nucleotides) under Zea mays. Its description in RNAcentral is "long non-coding RNA (ZMAY_LNC004110)". The record is from RNAcentral. Lineage: Eukaryota; Viridiplantae; Streptophyta; Magnoliopsida; Poales; Poaceae.